GGGGCUGUUAUGGCUUCGACAGAUAUUUUAGAGUAUGAAUGGCAAGUCGAAUGCACACGUUAAGUGCAAACAAAAAAUAACUGGAAACAGAAAUCAAUUAGCUUUCGCUUAAUAAUAUAGAAGGCUGCUUCUUUUAUCUUUUUCCUACGAAGAUAAUGAGAGGCUCGAUUUAGUAGGAUAUAUUAUUACUUAGCUUAGAAGUAAUAAAGAAAUUCAUAAGCUUACUAAUGAAUUUGAUUGUUAAUUAUCUUGUUUAUUAGGAAAUAUAUUAAUUAACUAAACUUGUAGAAAUUUAUAUGAAGAGGUAUUUGGACAGGGGUUCAAAUCCCCUCAGCUCCACCA
This 342-nucleotide transfer-messenger RNA is filed under the name Bacilli. RNAcentral's name for it is "SIG204 sp015059365 Standard tmRNA". It matches the Rfam family "transfer-messenger RNA". Rfam says of the family: Bacterial tmRNA, also known as 10Sa RNA or SsrA, is named for its dual tRNA and mRNA-like properties. Lineage: Bacteria; Bacillati; Bacillota. The record is from RNAcentral. RNAcentral also lists the same sequence under 1 other name.